Molecule: long non-coding RNA, 1102 nt
Organism: Hordeum vulgare subsp. vulgare (domesticated barley)
Lineage: Eukaryota; Viridiplantae; Streptophyta; Magnoliopsida; Poales; Poaceae
Exons: 2
Source: RefSeq, a predicted model, not a curated record
GACAGCAUGUCGGCACGGACGGACGGAGACUCGCGGUCAGCCAGUCAUCAUUGGCGUCCACCGUAGUUGGAAAAGAGCUGCACUCCCACUCCACCGCCGUCCUCCACUGAAUCGAGUGGCUCCUCCUCCUUCCCCACUCCCCACUCAACUCCGGGCCGCGCUGCCUGGACCGGAGGAUACAUCGGCGAACCAGCCGCAGGGGAGCAGAGCCAGCGCCGGUGCCCGGCGGCGACGUGCCGGGGAGCAGCGGAGGUCGCGCGCCGGCGAGGCCAUCGUCUUCCGCUUCCGGAGGCGGAGAGGUUUGUGGUGGAUAAGUCCCAAUCCGUAAUCCAGUGGUAAGUCCUUAGAUUUUUCUUUUUUUUUGCGGGCCAGAUUCUGCAUUCAGCUCGAACAGGUUGUUUUGGAUUUUGCUGACGCUAAACAGCAUGUUGAAUUGAGAAUUUUUGGGGUGCCUGUCAAAAUUCAGAGAUACCAAAACAACACUGUAUUUCGGUUUUGACUUGGAGUAGACCACCUAAACUUCCAGCUUAAUCAUGUUUUGACCUGGAAUAGACUUUGAACAUUUUAAUUGACAUCUGAACUUUGAAAUCUAGACCAUUUAGAUCUCUUAUAAUAAUCGUGACAUCUGAACUGUGAAACUUCCUGCUUAUUCGUGACAUGUGAACUUUGAAAUUUAGAGCAUUUAGAUCUCUUAUUAUUAAUUGACUAACGCACACUUCUCUGAUGCUUACAUGCCUUUAAUUUUGCCGCGGGAUUUUCAGAACAUGAUCACCAAAGCUGCUCAAAUGGCUGGUGGUGUUCCUUUCCUUAGAAUAAUCCAAGGCACUUCGUUGAUCAACCGAGGAUCAAGCAAUCUCACAAGCACGACAUCGAUAUUUGUUAACGAGGUUCACCGAUAUGGCUACAUCCCCGGGGCCUGACUACGGACGCUACUCUCCGUGACACCGUCACAAUACCGCACCUCGGUCGCCCGAUCGCGGGCACACGUCGUCGGCUCCCCCGCGCACUCGUGCUAUUAUGUUGGCAUAGGUUACAUCGUGUGUCUACCCCCGCUAUAUAUGAGAGGCCUAUGAUACAAGUGUCCUACCAAGACACGACUUUA